CUAAUUUUCAAACAUUAAAAUAACCUGCCAUUCCCGGGAGAAGCCCCACUUGGCCACGUAUUAUCCGUUUUAUGCAUUUGGGGAUUUGAUUUGCUAAAUGUUUGUUAAGAAUUUUUGCAUUUCUCUUUGUGGUGUUUCUUAUCUGUGCCCGGUUAUGGGAUUGGAGCGUUGCUGGCCUCAGAGAAUGAGCAGAAAACGCUUCGUCCUCUCCAAACCCCCGUACACGAGGACGUCGCUCCUGGACACCGUGAGGCUUUUCUCAGCAGCAAUCUCCAUCUCCGCCGCUGGCUGGAGAUCUCUGACUGGGACACUCUGA
This 316-nucleotide long non-coding RNA is filed under the name Mustela putorius furo (domestic ferret). RNAcentral describes it as "lncRNA (ENSMPUG00000025957.1)". Lineage: Eukaryota; Metazoa; Chordata; Mammalia; Carnivora; Mustelidae. The record is from RNAcentral.